RNAcentral lists this transfer RNA (83 nucleotides) under Treponema sp. Its description in RNAcentral is "tRNA-Leu". It matches the Rfam family "tRNA". From Rfam's summary of the family: Transfer RNA (tRNA) molecules are approximately 80 nucleotides in length. Their secondary structure includes four short double-helical elements and three loops (D, anti-codon, and T loops). Lineage: Bacteria; Pseudomonadati; Spirochaetota; Spirochaetia; Treponematales; Treponemataceae. RNAcentral also lists the same sequence under 3 other names. The record is from RNAcentral.
GCCCGGGUGGUGAAAUGGCAGACACGCCAGUUUCAGGUACUGGUGCUCGCAAGGGCGUGGGGGUUCAAGUCCCCCCCCGGGCA